CACUUGAGUGGUAGCAGCAUCUACCAAUCCAAGAGCUGGGGAAGCACACAGGAAGAACACACACAUGCAGCUGAACAGCUAACAACACUGGUGACCCUGACUACUGAUCUGUUCUUCUUCCCUGCCUUGUCAUGGGUGGAUGUCUGAGGCAGGAUCAGAAUGGCAGAUGACAGCUUGUUUUUGCAUGUAGAGUUGAGUGAUCCCACUGGAUGUGGCCAUCCCGUCGGAAGAGUAUGAGACAGCUUACGUUUGGGGCACUUUUUCUAGCCCCCUCCCCAUUUGGGGUGAGCAGAGGGGAUCCUAAAAAGGCCGGUUCAGUCACAGCCGCUGCUGCCGAAAUGCACUUCUGUCUCAUCCAAGCACAAGACGACCUUCACAUGGCUGCCGCCUGCAUGCAGUUUUAAAGAUUCCCAGAAAUCACGGCUCCUGUCUUCACCGCCACUCAUCUGUUGCCACAGAGUUCUGAGCCCUUUGGCAGAGGACUGUGCGUGAAAUCUUUUAACGUGGGGAAACCGGUGCACAGGAGACUUGACAGGAGGAAAACCCUGACCCAGUGGCAAGGAGAUCCAAGACAACCAGGGGCCUCCCUCCUGCUGCAGCCCUCAGCCGCCUUCACAGCCGCACAGUACUAAAAGGUCCUCUACAUGUGCCUAAUCCACCAGUGGGGUCUUGUGAAGUUUGGACCACGGUUAGUCAGGAGCCUUGUCUCAGACCUGCUCACCAAGGGGGACCCUAACAGAAGUAUGAAAGCUCCAGAUGAUAUAGCUCUGAGGGUCUUUAGCCCACGCAAACCUCUCCACCAUGACAAGGUUGUGGUCCAUCAGAGAGGAAACAAAAAACAACCAGGACAUGCAGGUCCAGAAGCAGGCAAGCGCUCCUGUGGCUGCUAGAUGGUGCUGCAGCUUCGCACUUUCCUACUCUCCAGAUUAUCUGAAUGUUUGAGUAUCUAAUUUGGUCUUGGGUCCCUGUUAGAUUGGAUAAAUUGGGAUCUGCUGUACUAUAUUUUAUUCUAGAGCAGGGGUUCUCAAACUGGGAGUCAGGACCCCUCAGGUGGUCGUGAGGUUAUUACAUGGGAGGUCGCGAGCUGUCAUCCUCCACCCCAAACCCCGCUUU
Long non-coding RNA from Mauremys reevesii (Reeves's turtle), 1113 nucleotides. RefSeq lists it as uncharacterized. The transcript has 4 exons. NCBI's taxonomy places the organism in Eukaryota, Metazoa, Chordata, Testudines, Geoemydidae. The record is from RefSeq and is a predicted model, not a curated record.